GUUAAGUGAUUAAUUUUGUUUUAGUAAAUAUAGAUAAUAAAAGGUAAAAUUAGAAUAUUAUUUUAUAUUAAUUUGAAUUUAAACUGAAGCUAUAAAAGUUUAGAAAUAAACUAGGAUUAGAUACCCUACUAUUCUAAAAUUUGAAAUUGUUAAACUAAAAUAGUAAGAGGAUAGGUUCUUAAAACUUAAAAAAUUUGGCGGCAAUUUAAUCUUUUCGGAGGAACCUGUUUUUUGAUCGAUAAACCACGAAAAAUCUUGCUUGUUUUUGUUAAUAUUCAGUUUGUAUACCGUCAUUAAAAAAUAAUUCUUAAAGGAAAAAUCGUUUAGCUUAAUUGUUUACUAAAAUUAGAUCAAGGUGCAGCUUAUAAACAAGUUAAAAUGGGUUACAAUAAAUUACUUUACUGCGGAAUAUAAAAUAAAUAUAAUUAUGAAGAAGGAUUUGAUUGUAUUAUUGGUUUAAUAAGCUAAUAAGAUAUAAGUUCUAAAUUGUGCACAUAUCGCCCGUCGCUUCCAUUUAUACAUGAGAUAAGUCG
This 533-nucleotide ribosomal RNA is filed under the name Metaplax tredecim. Its description in RNAcentral is "partial 12S ribosomal RNA". Lineage: Eukaryota; Metazoa; Arthropoda; Malacostraca; Decapoda; Varunidae. The record is from RNAcentral.